This 270-nucleotide ribosomal RNA is filed under the name uncultured bacterium. RNAcentral's name for it is "partial 16S ribosomal RNA". It matches the Rfam family "Bacterial small subunit ribosomal RNA", at positions 86 to 354 of the family's 1533-position model. The record is from RNAcentral.
CGCCGGCGACCGGCGCACGGGUGAGUAACACGUAUGCGACCUGCCCCCCGCAGGGGGAUAACCGGGAGAAAUCCCGACUAAUACCCCGUGACGCCACCGGAGGGCAUCCUCCGGUGGCCAAAGGAGCGAUCCGGUGGCGGAUGGGCAUGCGGCGCAUUAGCUAGACGGCGGGGUGACGGCCCACCGUGGCGACGAUGCGUAGGGGUUCUGAGAGGAAGGCCCCCCACACUGGGACUGAGACACGGCCCAGACUCCUACGGAAGGCAGCAG